Molecule: ribosomal RNA, 165 nt
Filed under: Veronica lavaudiana
Lineage: Eukaryota; Viridiplantae; Streptophyta; Magnoliopsida; Lamiales; Plantaginaceae
Description: 5.8S ribosomal RNA
Rfam family: 5.8S ribosomal RNA
About the family: 5.8S ribosomal RNA (5.8S rRNA) is a component of the large subunit of the eukaryotic ribosome. It is transcribed by RNA polymerase I as part of the 45S precursor that also contains 18S and 28S rRNA.
Source: RNAcentral
UAAACGACUNUCGGCAACGGAUAUCUCGGCUCUCGCAUCGAUGAAGAACGUAGCGAAAUGCGAUACUUGGUGUGAAUUGCAGAAUCCCGUGAACCAUCGAGUCUUUGAACGCAAGUUGCGCCCGAAGCCUUCUGGCUGAGGGCACGCCUGCCUGGGCGUCACGCA